Molecule: ribosomal RNA, 3005 nt
Filed under: Salmonella enterica
Lineage: Bacteria; Pseudomonadati; Pseudomonadota; Gammaproteobacteria; Enterobacterales; Enterobacteriaceae
Also listed under: 1 other name
Description: 23S ribosomal RNA
Rfam family: Bacterial large subunit ribosomal RNA
Source: RNAcentral
GGUUAAGCGACUAAGCGUACACGGUGGAUGCCCUGGCAGUCAGAGGCGAUGAAGGACGUGCUAAUCUGCGAUAAGCGCCGGUAAGGUGAUAUGAACCGUUAUAACCGGCGAUUUCCGAAUGGGGAAACCCAGUGUGACUCGUCACACUAUCAUUAACUGAAUCCAUAGGUUAAUGAGGCGAACCGGGGGAACUGAAACAUCUAAGUACCCCGAGGAAAAGAAAUCAACCGAGAUUCCCCCAGUAGCGGCGAGCGAACGGGGAGGAGCCCAGAGCCUGAAUCAGCAUGUGUGUUAGUGGAAGCGUCUGGAAAGGCGCGCGAUACAGGGUGACAGCCCCGUACACAAAAGCGCAUAUGCUGUGAGCUCGAUGAGUAGGGCGGGACACGUGGUAUCCUGUCUGAAUAUGGGGGGACCAUCCUCCAAGGCUAAAUACUCCUGACUGACCGAUAGUGAACCAGUACCGUGAGGGAAAGGCGAAAAGAACCCCGGCGAGGGGAGUGAAAAAGAACCUGAAACCGUGUACGUACAAGCAGUGGGAGCCCCACCACUAAGCCAGUGGUGAACUCCACAUACGCAUCCUUUGCUGAGGAUACGGUUAACGGAGCGAAAGCGACGUUCAACCGCAAAAGAAGCAGAGGGGGCUUAGUGGUGGGGUGACUGCGUACCUUUUGUAUAAUGGGUCAGCGACUUAUAUUCUGUAGCAAGGUUAACCGAAUAGGGGAGCCGGAGGGAAACCGAGUCUUAACCGGGCGUUAAGUUGCAGGGUAUAGACCCGAAACCCGGUGAUCUAGCCAUGGGCAGGUUGAAGGUUGGGUAACACUAACUGGAGGACCGAACCGACUAAUGUUGAAAAAUUAGCGGAUGACCUGUGGCUGGGGGUGAAAGGCCAAUCAAACCGGGAGAUAGCUGGUUCUCCCCGAAAGCUAUUUAGGUAGCGCCUCGUGAACUCAUCUCCGGGGGUAGAGCACUGUUUCGGCUAGGGGGCCAUCCCGGCUUACCAACCCGAUGCAAACUGCGAAUACCGGAGAAUGUUAUCACGGGAGACACACGGCGGGUGCUAACGUCCGUCGUGAAGAGGGAAACAACCCAGACCGCCAGCUAAGGUCCCAAAGUCAUGGUUAAGUGGGAAACGAUGUGGGAAGGCCCAGACAGCCAGGAUGUUGGCUUAGAAGCAGCCAUCAUUUAAAGAAAGCGUAAUAGCUCACUGGUCGAGUCGGCCUGCGCGGAAGAUGUAACGGGGCUAAACCAUGCACCGAAGCUGCGGCAGCGACACUCAGGUGUUGUUGGGUAGGGGAGCGUUCUGUAAGCCUGCGAAGGUGGCCUGUGAGGGUUGCUGGAGGUAUCAGAAGUGCGAAUGCUGACAUAAGUAACGAUAAAGCGGGUGAAAAGCCCGCUCGCCGGAAGACCAAGGGUUCCUGUCCAACGUUAAUCGGGGCAGGGUGAGUCGACCCCUAAGGCGAGGCCGAAAGGCGUAGUCGAUGGGAAACGGGUUAAUAUUCCCGUACUUGGUGUUACUGCGAAGGGGGGACGGAGAAGGCUAUGUUGGCCGGGCGACGGUUGUCCCGGUUUAAGCGUGUAGGCUGGUUUUCCAGGCAAAUCCGGAAAAUCAAGGCUGAGGCGUGACGACGAGGCACUACGGUGCUGAAGCAACAAAUGCCCUGCUUCCAGGAAAAGCCUCUAAGCAUCAGGUAACAUCAAAUCGUACCCCAAACCGACACAGGUGGUCAGGUAGAGAAUACCAAGGCGCUUGAGAGAACUCGGGUGAAGGAACUAGGCAAAAUGGUGCCGUAACUUCGGGAGAAGGCACGCUGACACGUAGGUGAAGUGAUUUACUCAUGGAGCUGAAGUCAGUCGAAGAUACCAGCUGGCUGCAACUGUUUAUUAAAAACACAGCACUGUGCAAACACGAAAGUGGACGUAUACGGUGUGACGCCUGCCCGGUGCCGGAAGGUUAAUUGAUGGGGUCAGCGCAAGCGAAGCUCCUGAUCGAAGCCCCGGUAAACGGCGGCCGUAACUAUAACGGUCCUAAGGUAGCGAAAUUCCUUGUCGGGUAAGUUCCGACCUGCACGAAUGGCGUAAUGAUGGCCAGGCUGUCUCCACCCGAGACUCAGUGAAAUUGAACUCGCUGUGAAGAUGCAGUGUACCCGCGGCAAGACGGAAAGACCCCGUGAACCUUUACUAUAGCUUGACACUGAACAUUGAGCCUUGAUGUGUAGGAUAGGUGGGAGGCUUUGAAGUGUGGACGCCAGUCUGCAUGGAGCCGGCCUUGAAAUACCACCCUUUAAUGUUUGAUGUUCUAACGUGGACCCGUGAUCCGGGUUGCGGACAGUGUCUGGUGGGUAGUUUGACUGGGGCGGUCUCCUCCUAAAGAGUAACGGAGGAGCACGAAGGUUGGCUAAUCCUGGUCGGACAUCAGGAGGUUAGUGCAAUGGCAUAAGCCAGCUUGACUGCGAGCGUGACGGCGCGAGCAGGUGCGAAAGCAGGUCAUAGUGAUCCGGUGGUUCUGAAUGGAAGGGCCAUCGCUCAACGGAUAAAAGGUACUCCGGGGAUAACAGGCUGAUACCGCCCAAGAGUUCAUAUCGACGGCGGUGUUUGGCACCUCGAUGUCGGCUCAUCACAUCCUGGGGCUGAAGUAGGUCCCAAGGGUAUGGCUGUUCGCCAUUUAAAGUGGUACGCGAGCUGGGUUUAGAACGUCGUGAGACAGUUCGGUCCCUAUCUGCCGUGGGCGCUGGAGAACUGAGGGGGGCUGCUCCUAGUACGAGAGGACCGGAGUGGACGCAUCACUGGUGUUCGGGUUGUCAUGCCAAUGGCACUGCCCGGUAGCUAAAUGCGGAAGAGAUAAGUGCUGAAAGCAUCUAAGCACGAAACUUGCCCCGAGAUGAGUUCUCCCUGAGACUUUAGGUCUCCUGAAGGAACGUUGAAGACGACGACGUUGAUAGGCCGGGUGUGUAAGCGCAGCGAUGCGUUGAGCUAACCGGUACUAAUGAACCGUGAGGCUUAACCUU